RNAcentral lists this long non-coding RNA (2051 nucleotides) under Musa acuminata (dwarf banana). RNAcentral describes it as "long non-coding RNA (MACU_LNC005939)". Lineage: Eukaryota; Viridiplantae; Streptophyta; Magnoliopsida; Zingiberales; Musaceae. The record is from RNAcentral.
UCUAUGUUUCCUUUUGUAGGAGCAUGUAUCUAUCUAGAAGUAUUACCGAGUGUAUAAUAUAAUCUAGUCACUGUUAGGUUCAAACUAUUGGGUUUCUUGAGGAUGGUCCGGAGAGAGAAAAAAAGGAAACAUACGUUUGGGAAAAGCCUUAGUCUGCUGACUAUGAUUUGACAUUUAAUUAUUGACCUGAUAAACCAUUUUCAAUGAUUCAAGCUAUGCCACCGAAAAAAAAUGAACACCAAAGUAACAACACAUGACAGCCUAAGUAGGACAAAGUCAUAAAUCAAAAUUAGGGGGAUUUUCCUUGUUCUUCAGUGACACAUGGUGAACCUGUGAUAUACAGAUUAUCCAGAGGCUCAACCUCCAGGGAGAUCUUAUAAACAUUAAUUCCUCAUCCCACUGUUGUGCUGGACUAGAACCUUGCAAACGUAUUAUGACAUUUCCAAGUACCCUGCAAGUAUCACUGCCAAUUUAUAGGUUGACAAUUGAAGGUCUAUUCUUUCAAGAAUGUUUGAAGUUAAUAGGAAAGGUUGAAAAGAAAAUAUUUGUAUUAGAGAGCAUUUACGACAGGGUAGGGGAUAAAAUGAUGAAAAAUUAUCUAAGAUGGUAUGGACCUAGAAAAAUUUUAUUAGAAAUCAUAAGUAAAUAUUUUAAUUUUUUUAUUUAAUUAAGGAUAUUGAUUUGCACAAAGCUCAAUCUAUAUAAUUGACUCCAAAUGGUUGAGACAUUAGGAUUUGUUGCUAUUGUUGUUUGUAUGCUUAUUGGUGGCCAUCAAGGCAUCAACAGCAAUUAUUUUAUGAUUUUCUUUGUAUUGCAACAUAUUCUACAAUCUGCACCAUUGUAAAAAUAUUAGAAAGAUGUAUUUACUAUUCAGAGUCUGGUCGCCACAGGUGAGCUUUUCACCUAGUUCAGGCCUGGUUUAUGUUCUAAACUGGGCAGUAAGGCCUGGCUUUUUGCCGGACAACGAAGUAUAGGGCAGUCUGCAUGCCCAUAUUGCAUUGGACCUGUGCAUAACUGCAUAUUAUCCAAUAUGUACCAAUCCAGGUGACAUUUAAAUCCAUGAUUUAGAAUCCCUUGGAAUACAAUUUAAUGGAGAUAUGAAUGCUUUAAUUAAAUAAGGUUGGACUGUUCCAAGAUUUAGUCCAACUAGGAUUUCCACUAAUUAGUUAAAUUAUAUCCAUUGUCUACAGAGUUUACCAUGCAUGAUUGAAAAGCUAAUAUGGAACGUGGCACCCUCCCAUUGACUGUUCAUAGGCUUUGGGCAUCCCAGGUGCUGGUCACAACCCCCCAUGUGUGCCUUGGGUUUUGACUUGCCUUGCCUAGGCUGUCCAUAGUUAGCCAAAAUCGGUUCAGGUGUGGUAUCAAAAUGUUUUUAGGUGUAACAUUAGUCAAACUGAUUUCAAAGAGGGCAUGAUGUUACUGUUAGAUUCUUCUGCUCUUUUGUACAAGAAAGAGAGCAUCUAUAAGGCUAUGGGACUCGAGAUAGUUUAUUACUUCUAUGUUUCCUUUUCUAGGAGCAUGUAUCUAUCUAGAAGUAUUACUGAGUGUAUAAUAUAAUCUAUUCACUAUUAGGUUCGAACUAUUGGGUUUCUUGAGCAUGGUCCAGAGAGAGAAAAAAAGGAAACAUAAGUUUGGGAAAAGCCUUAGUCAGCUGACUAUGAUUUGACAUUUAAUUAUUGACCUGAUCAACCAUUUUCAAUAAUUCAAGCUAUGCCACCGAAAAAAAAAUGAACACCAAAGUAACAACACAUGACAGCCUAAGUCGGACAAAGUUAUAAAUCAAAAUUAGGGGGAUUUUCGUUUUUAGUGACAAUGUGGUGAAUCUGUGAUAUACAGAUUAUCCAGAGGCUCAACCUCCAGGGAGAUCUUAUAAACAUUAAUUCCUCUUCCUACUGUUGUGCUGGACCAGAAACCUACAAACGUAUUAUGACAUUUCCAAGUACCCUGCAAGUAUCACUACCAUUUUAUAGGUUGAUAAUUGAAGGUCUAUUCUUUAAAGAAUAUGUGAAGUUAAUAGGAAAGGUUGAAAAGAAAAUAUUUGUAUUAGAGAG